CCUACGGGUCGCACCAGUGGGGAAUAUUGCACAAUGGGCGCAAGCCUGAUGCAGCCAUGCCGCGUGUAUGAAGAAGGCCUUCGGGUUGUAAAGUACUUUCAGCGAGGAGGAAGGCAUUAAGGUUAAUAACCUUGGUGAUUGACGUUACUCGCAGAAGAAGCACCGGCUAACUCCGUGCCAGCAGCCGCGGUAAUACGGAGGGUGCAAGCGUUAAUCGGAAUUACUGGGCGUAAAGCGCACGCAGGCGGUCUGUCAAGUCGGAUGUGAAAUCCCCGGGCUUAACCUGGGAAUGGCAUCUAAGACUGGUCAGCUAGAGUCUUGUAGAGGGGGGUAGAAUUCCAUGUGUAGCGGUGAAAUGCGUAGAGAUGUGGAGGAAUACCGGUGGCGAAGGCGGCCCCCUGGACAAAGACUGACGCUCAGGUGCGAAAGCGUGGGGAGCAAACAGGAUUAGAUACCCGGGUAGU
This 464-nucleotide ribosomal RNA is filed under the name uncultured bacterium. Its description in RNAcentral is "bacterial SSU rRNA". It matches the Rfam family "Bacterial small subunit ribosomal RNA", at positions 338 to 794 of the family's 1533-position model. The record is from RNAcentral.